Molecule: small RNA, 228 nt
Filed under: Cellulomonas flavigena
Lineage: Bacteria; Bacillati; Actinomycetota; Actinomycetes; Micrococcales; Cellulomonadaceae
Also listed under: 1 other name
Description: c-di-AMP sequence
Rfam family: c-di-AMP riboswitch aptamer (ydaO/yuaA leader)
About the family: This family represents a conserved RNA structure found upstream of the ydaO and yuaA genes in Bacillus subtilis and related genes in other bacteria. The ydaO/yuaA element is thought to act as a genetic "off" switch for the ydaO and yuaA genes in its native state. It is believed that the element may be triggered during osmotic shock leading to activation of ydaO, a predicted amino acid transporter gene, and members of the yuaA-yubG operon which code for KtrA and KtrB K+ transporters.
Source: RNAcentral
UCGAGCGGAACGCCGAAUCCUGCCGCCGCUCGCAGGUCCGUACGACUCGCCGGCAGGGGCGGGGGAACCACAUCUGGUCACCGGAGGUCUCGGUGGCCUUGGGGUGAAGCCGGGCGGACGGAACGACAGCGGUGCACCACGGUGCGCAGCAGGUCGUGACGGACGACCGGCCGGGUGAUCUCCCACCCGAACCCGACAGCUCACCUCGUAGGCGCCAGGAGAGGCAAC